RNAcentral lists this transfer RNA (75 nucleotides) under Acidobacteriota bacterium. RNAcentral's name for it is "Acidobacteria bacterium tRNA-Gln". It matches the Rfam family "tRNA". From Rfam's summary of the family: Transfer RNA (tRNA) molecules are approximately 80 nucleotides in length. Lineage: Bacteria; Pseudomonadati; Acidobacteriota. The record is from RNAcentral.
UGGGGGGUGGUGUAACCGGUAGCACGGCAGGUUUUGGUCCUGUAAGAGCGGGUUCGAGUCCUGCCUCCCCAGCAA